ACCUAGGGUGGCGAGCGGCGGACUGGUGAGUAAUGCAUAAGAAUCUACCUAAUAGACUGGGAUAGCCCUUGGAAACAAGGAUUAAUACCGGAUAUGUCCAUGGAUGAAAGCGGCGUUUGCCGCACUAUUAGAUGAGCUUGUGUCCUAUUAGCUUGUUGGCGGGGUAAAUGCCCACCAAGGCAAUGAUAGGUAUCCGACCUGAGAGGGUGAUCGGACACAUCGGGACUGAGAUACGGCCCGGACUUCUACGGAAGGCAGCAGUUAAGAAUAUUCCGCAAUGGGCGAAAGCCUGACGGAGCAAUCUCGCGUGGAGGAUGAAGGCCCUUGGGUUGUAAACUCCUUUUGGCAGGGAAGAAUAAGGCAAUAGGAAAUGAUUGUUGAUGACGGUACCUGCAGAAAAAGCACCGACUAACUACGUGCCAGCAGUCGCGGUAAUACGUAGGGUGCAAACGUUGCUCGGAAUCACUGGGCGUAAAGGGUACGUAGGCGGCUUUGCAAGUCGGCGGUUAAAAAUUGGGGCUUAACUCCAAAGGUGCCGUCGAAACUGCUUAGCUAGAGUUGCAUAUAUGGGUGACAGGAAUUCCUAGUGUAGGAGUGAUAUCUGUAGAUAUUAGGAGGAACACCAAUGGCAAGGCAAGUCACUGAGUAGCAACUGACGCUGAGGUACGAAAGCUAGGGGAGCGAAUGGGAUUAGAGACCCCAGUAGUCCUAGCCGUAAACGAUGCAGACUAGCUUUAUGGAUUCUUUUCAUAAAGCGUAGCU
This 762-nucleotide ribosomal RNA is filed under the name uncultured bacterium. RNAcentral describes it as "SSU rRNA". It matches the Rfam family "Bacterial small subunit ribosomal RNA", at positions 81 to 853 of the family's 1533-position model. The record is from RNAcentral.